CAAAUUUGAAAUCUGGCGUCUUCGACGUCCGAGUUGUAAUUUGAAGAAGGCGACUUUGUAGCUGGUCCUUGUCUAUGUUCCUUGGAACAGGACGUCAUAGAGGGUGAGAAUCCCGUGUGGCGAGGAUCCCAGUUAUUUGUAAAGUGCUUUCGACGAGUCGAGUUGUUUGGGAAUGCAGCUCUAAGUGGGUGGUAAAUUCCAUCUAAAGCUAAAUAUUGGCGAGAGACCGAUAGCGAACAAGUACAGUGAUGGAAAGAUGAAAAGAACUUUGAAAAGAGAGUGAAAAAGUACGUGAAAUUGUUGAAAGGGAAGGGCAUUUGAUCAGACAUGGCGUUUGCUUCGGCUUUCGCUGGGCCAGCAUCAGUUUUAGCGGUUGGAUAAAUCCUCGGGAAUGUGGCUCUGCUUCGGUAGAGUGUUAUAGCCCGUGGGAAUACAGCCAGCUGGGACUGAGGAUUGCGACUUUUGUCAAGGAUGCUGGCGUAAUGGUUAAAUGCCGCCCGUC
Molecule: ribosomal RNA, 502 nt
Filed under: Kluyveromyces marxianus
Lineage: Eukaryota; Fungi; Ascomycota; Saccharomycetes; Saccharomycetales; Saccharomycetaceae
Description: eukaryotic LSU rRNA
Rfam family: Eukaryotic large subunit ribosomal RNA
Source: RNAcentral